UACGUAGGGUGCAAGCGUUAAUCGGAAUUACUGGGCGUAAAGAGCUCGUAGGCGGUUUGUCGCGUCUGCCGUGAAAGUCCGGGGCUCAACUCCGGAUCUGCGGUGGGUACGGGCAGACUAGAGUGAUGUAGGGGAGACUGGAAUUCCUGGUGUAGCGGUGAAAUGCGCAGAUAUCAGGAGGAACACCGAUGGCGAAGGCAGGUCUCUGGGCUGUAACUGACGCUGAGGAGCGAAAGCAUGGGGAGCGAACAGG
This 253-nucleotide ribosomal RNA is filed under the name uncultured bacterium. Its description in RNAcentral is "partial 16S ribosomal RNA". It matches the Rfam family "Bacterial small subunit ribosomal RNA", at positions 524 to 776 of the family's 1533-position model. The record is from RNAcentral.